Long non-coding RNA from Triticum aestivum (bread wheat), 3203 nucleotides. RefSeq lists it as uncharacterized. The transcript is spliced from 6 exons. Lineage: Eukaryota; Viridiplantae; Streptophyta; Magnoliopsida; Poales; Poaceae. The record is from RefSeq and is a predicted model, not a curated record.
CGUUGCUCGUCCAGUCGUCCUCCAGAUCUCCCUCCUCCAUGUCGUCCCUCUCCUCCACAUUCCCCUCUUUUUCUCUCUCCAUGGCCGCCGUCGGGCCGUGCCCCUGCCACCAACACGCGCGCGCGGAUGCAGGCGGGAGGAGGCACUUGGCUUGAGCAGGGCUGGUUUUCGCUGCGCUGCUGCUCCGUCGGCAUGGGUUGUCGUCGUGCUCCCCUCCUCUGCGGGCCGUCACCUGAAGGUCGCUGUUGCCGGCGACGAGGACCAAUGGGAGGUCGCCACCGCCACGGAUCUGCUCCCCAUUCCCCUUGACCGUCGGUCUCCUGCUCCACCCCUCUCCCUGAUCCCCUUCCCUCUCGUGCACGCCGCCUCAACUGAUGAUUAGAUGCGCCUUCUGUCCUUCGUGUUUGGUCUGAGCAGUGGGUUGCAGCACUCGUGAUUCAGCUUGUUUCGGGGAUGGAAUGAAUUGGGCAUCAGCAUCUCACACACACACCGAGGAUGAUUAUGUUUAUUACGUCAACCAUGUAGUAGAAACCAGAGAGAACUAAACAGCCCACCCUCUGGGUUUGACAUGUGCUGAAGAAAAUACAGUUUUGGUUUUCAGGCAUGUCAUUCAAUGUCCGCUUAAAAUUUCCUGUAUUGUGACAGCGCCAUGCAACUACUACCUUGCUAUUAAGCUCGAGUGGAUGUCAUGAUCAAGAGUUCAAGACUGAGAUAUUCUACUGAAAACCAGCUGGCGUCUUUUAGAUGUUGGGCGCCACGAUGAAAAUUGGAUUUGUUUAGUGUCCACAACUCUAGACAUGGAUCUCAUCUACCUCGUUUAUAUGGUAAUGGUUCAAGGGUUAAAUUUCUGUUCUUGGUAAUUUGUUGAGUAUGUCUAUCUGAUGGGCAUUGAAGUUGUAGGUUUUUUGUAUUCUGAUUCGGUUAAGAUAAUUAAAGAAUGAUUGUUACUUCACCUACUAAUGUGUGGUUCAGUGUAGGGGUAUAUAUGGUACAGCGACAAGUUUCUAGGUGCCGAAUCAGGAUGGAUUAUAAUGGCGCAUAUGCAUUUUCAGUUUCCUCUCGCUUUUGUGUUCAAUCUUAUGCAUUUUUUACCUACUAGGACUGAUUGAGGUCUAUGAGAUACUUUUUUGCAGAUCAUCAGAAAGGCCUCCCGGUUCCAUUAUCAUGAACACCAAGUUACAGAAGUUCAAGGAUUACAGCAAAAAGAAGCAAACUAGAGUUCAGAUAGCAGGGGAAUGAAAAGCUACAGGUCCAAGGCCUGGCCAAAACACAAAGCCAGUAACAAUGAGAUAUGGUUGCGGGCAUAUGAGUAUUAAAACCUUAUUAUGUUUCUCUGAUUAUUUAGAACAGUUACAUAUGUUUUGAGGGAUGAGAUUAGAUGUAAUUUUGUGAUCAAUCACGUAGUUCUGAAAUGACCAAUCAUAUUCUUCAACUUGCAGUUUGGGUACGGACUACAUUUUAAUUUCUUUGGAAAGUGCUUUCACUGCUUCUAAUAUCUAAUUCCAAAAGAAAGGUAUGUGUCUCCAACUAAUGUUGUUUCUUGAUGUGGUUUCCUAAACUGAAGCACGAGUCGGGUUGGUAGACGGCGGGGUGCCAUCCAACUAGGGGCAAAGACAUGGGCGCCAGUUCCAUCCUUUUUCCUCCGUUUAUUGAUUUUUUUCCUUUUCCUUUUACCUCUUGUUAAUCCUUUACCAGCAGCAAUCGCAGAUUUAACACAGUGUUCCUUCCUUGAUGUCUAUUGUUUUGUAGGCACUGAUCUCAGUAUGAAUUGCCGCAUAGGGUCACCGGUGGUGGAUGUUGUUAACAAGUACAUGAUUUUUCUUAUUCUUCAUGUCUUUCUAUUUGUAGAAGAAUCAAGUCCAUUGACACAACAUGAAAUGGAGCAGCAAAGAACAAAUGGUUGCUUGAUGUUCCCAGAUUAGCUACAUAGUUGUGGAUGUCGCUGAUGUGUGCUAAUUCUUUAUGCGCUUGAUCCUAUUGAACUGUUGUGUUGAUAUGUUAAUUUACUUAUAUAAACUAUGUGAUAAGAUUUCUCAUGGUGUGUGCAUUUUGAAGUUACCUCAUCAAUAUUGGAUACUCAUAUUUGUGCACUUAGGUGUUGUAGUCACUGAGUCAGCAAUUACCGACGUGCUCUAAACUAUUAACAAAUUUAUUGUAUGGAGAAAAGUGACAAGUCUAAAACAGAGAAUGAUCUUUUUGGGUACAAGAGAGUUCUUGUGGAUGAAACUCAUCUGGUUUCUAUUGGUCGCCUUCCAGUUAUGGUUAAUUCAAAUUUAUGUUGGUUGCAUGAACUCAGGGAAAGUGAUUGCCUUUUUUAUUCUGGUGGACACUUUUUGAUCAGGGGAAUGGAGAAGCAAUGAGGGACGUGAAAAGCAUAAAUGGUGCAGACAAUGUUAUACAAAUAUGCAUGCAUUGGAAGGCUGGUUAGCGACAGAUCUGUAGUACUGAUUGCUCUCUGUUUGAGAUAUCAAACAUUUCAUUCCUCGUGUUGUUUUGAUGCCGAUGCUUAUGUGGUUGCAUAUUGACUUGCGAUAUGUUGAGCAGAUCACUGUCUCAAGGAAUGAUCAAUUAGGACAAGCGUGUUUCCACCAAAAGAGGAAGCCGUUUGGGCCUUUUACUGAGGGAUAUAUUUCUUACUUUUGAUCCUCACCAAUAAUCUCAGGAGAGGCAAGGGUCGCUCGACUAGAUCGUGAAGACACUUUAGAUGGAGGCCUGAUCGUCGCUGCUCCUCUGGUUGUUGCAGUUUUAAGGGCUUAGACAGAUCGUCUGGAACUGGGGAGCUCUCUUCUCUAUUUGCCAAUGUCUUUUACUUUUUUAAUAGAAGCUGUCAUUCAUCGCCUGUAGACUGAUUGUCAACGACCGCCGCCACCUGUCAGAGACGUUAGCUCAACCUUACCCUGCGAGGAACUGUACCUCCACUUUUGGACAGAAUCUCUAAUGAUUUGGGUUACCAUUGAGGGAUUCGACCUACUACUUUAUGAUCAUUGAUUAACAAGGUCCUCAGUUAUACAUGCACUAGUGGUUGGGGUGCCACCGGGUGGCGCCGCUUGAGGCGUGCAUGUCCGGUGCCAGGCAUGGAAGAUGAAAUCAGAUGGAGAUGGUGUUCACCAGGAGCUUAGGCCCGUUGAACCGGCCCUGAUGACGCCAAAUGUAAAGAGGGGCACAACCGCAUCAGGCCUGCUUGUGUAGACUGCCACAACUGU